AUGCUGCGCGCGGCGGCGGCUGCCGCCGCUGCCUUCCCGGCGCGGUUCGCCGCCGUGCCAGCCGUGGCGGCGGCGGAGGAGAUGCGGUCGCCGCUGCUCAGGGUCUUCGGGUCGCUGAGGGGCGGCCGGAGCUCGGUGAUGGGGAGGCGGGCGCGCUUCUGCUCCAGCUCCUCCGGGAGUGACUCCGAGGCCGCGGCGGCGGCCGCAGCGGAGGCGAAGGCCGAGGAUGCGGUUGCCGCCGAGGGUGAGGCUGAAGGCAAGGCGUCCUCCGCCAUCGUCUCCACCAACCCCCGUCCCGAGGACUUCCUCUCGGUGCGCUCUCUCUCAUUUCAGAUAAUAAUCGCUCUGUUUUAG
Molecule: ribosomal RNA, 354 nt
Filed under: Triticum aestivum (bread wheat)
Lineage: Eukaryota; Viridiplantae; Streptophyta; Magnoliopsida; Poales; Poaceae
Description: partial small subunit ribosomal RNA
Source: RNAcentral